AAGUCGUAACAAGGUUUCCGUAGGUGAACCUGCGGAAGGAUCAUUAUAGUAAGGGCCGAAAGGCCUAUUACGAGAUGCAACCCUUGUCUUUUUGUGCACCUUUGUUUCCUCGGCAGCUUAGCCUGCCAAUGAGGACCCUAAAAAAAACCUUUUGCAAUCCUAGUAUAACAUUCUGAAAACAAACAAUAUUAAAACUUUCAACAAUGGAUCUCUUGGCUCUG
This 221-nucleotide unclassified non-coding RNA is filed under the name fungal sp. RNAcentral describes it as "partial internal transcribed spacer region". The stretch from base 1 to 46 matches the Rfam family "Eukaryotic small subunit ribosomal RNA", at positions 1786 to 1831 of the family's 1831-position model. Lineage: Eukaryota; Fungi. The record is from RNAcentral.